UCUUCUCUGGUUAGUUUUCUUCUUCACAUAAUUGUGGUGGUUAUCUAAUCUUCUUUAUGUUUCUUUUCAGAUUCCUUUCUCUCUUUCUCUACACGCGCGACAAUGCAAAGGGGUACGGUAGCUCGAAGUAAAAAUAUACGUGUCGGCCAAUCAUACGAAGGAUACAUGGCAAGUUUAACUGCUUUUGAUUCAAGUUUCACAAUAUUUGAAUUCUUUAUUAAUUUAUAUUUUUAGAAUUCAUUCUUCAAUUUUUUUAGAACCGGAUGAUGUUGCCCACUAAAUGGGAAUAUAUUGAGUCUGAUGGACAUCAAACUUUGUGUGUUGUGAACUAUGGAAAAGCAACCCUCAUCUCCCGCGUCAUCGAGAUUGAUUUGUCAAAGUCAAUCGAAAUGAUGUAUACAAAGGUUAAUCAAAAUGAUGUAUAGAUCCUUCUACCAUCCUCCCUUCUAUCCAUAAUAUUCAACACCCUUGUAUAUUGGUUAUUAUUUCUUUUGUUAAUUAUAUUUCAUUUGAUA
Non-coding RNA from Cicer arietinum (chickpea), 515 nucleotides. The record is from RefSeq and is a predicted model, not a curated record. Lineage: Eukaryota; Viridiplantae; Streptophyta; Magnoliopsida; Fabales; Fabaceae.